AUUAUAAGCACAUCUGAAUACACCUACACUUACAGAGCUAGACCUACACACACUGAAAAAAUACAAAGAAAAUAUCCUUGAAAAUACACUGAUUCUACACUGCUUUUUGAGUCUCUUUUCUUCAUUUUAACAAAGAACUCCUAUUGGUUUCAUAUUUUAGCUGGGAUUUCUGAGUUCGAAUUUAAAGACGUUUUAGUUUCCUGUUUGGUAUUCUUGCUGCUGCUUUUGCUCAGAUUUUUCAGAAACUUAUUUUCUAUCUUUCUGUUUGUUUUCUUGCUGCUAUCAAGGUACUAUUCUAAACAAUGUAAAGGUUUAAUCUCGUUGUUAUCCUGACUAUGAAUUUGCUGUGUAUUAAAAGUUGUGUUUGUUUAAAAGUGGUCUGGUGUAUGGUUUAAUUUACUGCAUGAAUCAUGUGGUUUAAAGUUGUUUAGUUGGAAGUUAUGUGUGAACCCAUGUAGAACUAGUCAUUUACACUGUUUAUUCUAUUUAAGUUAUAUUAGCAUUAUGUUAAAAUAUUCAUAAAAUUGCAAAAAAUUUGUUUAAGUUUCAUGUGUUCAUCCAGAAGAUCUAUAUGCUUGUAUGUAAUAGAAGAAGUGAAAAACAGUAUUCUCUUUUAAGAAACUUGUUAGAGUAGUAAUAGGUAGAUUUGGUUAUCAUUAAAGAAUUAAUCUCAGUAUUUAGUUAAUAAGUUAGUUCUUUUAUAUCUUACUUGUAUAAUGAGUUAGUUUGAUAUAUUAAUAGCUUUACUAUUUUGUUUAAAGCAAUUAAACAUAGUAAUUCCAAUUCGUUAGUUUUUGGAUCAUGAAAAACUGAUUUUUUUGAGCUAACUGAAUAGUUACCAUGGUACAUUUUGGGUCUAUGGGAUUUUACUCUAGGUUUUCUGCUAAUAAAUCAAGUUGGCAAUUCGAUCAAAGGCAUUUACUCUUUAAAGUUUUAAAUACACAAUGAUUUUUUUAACUUAUCACUUUAGCAUAGUGUUAACAUAAGAAGUAAAAGUCUUAGGUAGAAAAUUAUCGAUUUGAACCAGAUUUUGAUUUACUUUACCCAUCCCAACCCCCUUUAGAUUUAUGUUUUAAAAAAUAAUUAAAAUAUAGGUAAAAUUUUAUAAUUGCUACGACAAAUGUGGGUCUCAAACUCGUUCAGAUAAAUAUGUAUUGGGCCAGAGUCAUUUGGACUCAUCAUUCCCAGGCCCAAAUUAUCCUUGAUUAAUUUCAUUUAGCUAUUCAUAAGAUGUGCAUUGGGCCAGAGUCAUUUGGACUCAUCAUCAUGCCCAAAUCUUCUUGAAUUAAAAUUGCUUUGUUGAUCGAAUGCUUGAUAACAUGUGUAUUGGGCCAGAGUUCGUUUGGACUCAGCCAUUAUUCGCCCCCUCCCCCCCCCCCCCCCCCAAAUUAAUUUUUCGAUUAAGAUUCAACUUAGCUGGCCCAUAUAAUUGAUAAUGUAUGUAUUGGGCUAGAGCCCAGUUGGACUUAGCCUUUAUCAGGGCCAAACUCUUAAUCAUGGGCCUGUUUGGUAGAUAAUAAAUAAGUGGCCUAAUUUAAUUUAAACAAAUAUUUCACAUAGUAUUGAACCUUUUACACUUAGUUAUAUGACAUAAUGUACUUACCUUAGAGACAUAAUCAUAAUUUAGGUAUACUUAUAACUGAACUAAUUAUUAUAAUUAUGUACACAUACGCGUGAUAUAGUUGUGAUACCACAAAAAAACCAAGGUGCACGCUCGCGUGACCAUGAACAAACAUUCUUAGUAAGUAGAACGUCUUAAUCAAACACUCGUAGAAAUGUUGUAGGCGCGGGUUUUAAAACUACUAUCGUGAUUGCAUACAUAUUCGUGUGACGUGAUUCCGAUUUUUUUUCCAAAUAAACUCAAAGUACGUGUUCGCGCGACUUUGAACAAACUUUUUCUUAAAUAAACUAAGUGUUGUAAAUUGCGUGCACAUACACGUGACGUGAUUCUUAACGCACUAAACUAAAACGAGUAUACGUACGCGUAACUCAUCUUAAGUUAAUCCUUUAAAUACAUGUUAUCAAGUGAUUAGUAGCGGUAAAAGGUAAAAUAAAUAUAGGUCCUAAAAUAAGUAAUUAGAUAAAAUAAGCCAAGUAUAAAUUGCUAAGCGACCGUGCUAAAACUACUAAACCAGGGAAUGCCUAACACCUUCUCCCGGGUUAACAGAAUUCCUUACCUAGUUUUCUAGUUUUGCAGACUUUAAACGAAGUCAAAUUUUCCUCUAUUUGGGAUUUAAAAUAAACCGGUGACUUGAGACACCAUAAAAUUAUCCCAAGUGGUGACUCUAAAAUAAAUAAAUAAUCUCAUUUCGAUUAUUGUCACUUUAAUUGGAAAAAUUCUCCUAUCCCAAUCCCCUCGAAAAAAGGAGGUGUGACAAGGACCUGGUUCUCUACUAUCCUUCAGGAGAUAAUUUCAACUUAACUGGGUACGUUGAUGCUGAUUAUGCUAGCUAUCUAUUGGAUAGAAAGAUCACAUCUGGCAUGGCACAUUUUCUGGGAUCGUGUUCAUUUUUUUGGGGUACAAAGAAACAAAACUCUAUGGAUCUUUCAACUGCAGAAGCUGAGUAUGUGGCAGUUGCCUCUUGUUGUGCUCAACUACUGUGGAUCAAGCAAUAACUAGAGGACUUUGGUGUAUUUUUUGAUUGUGUUAUAUUAUUGUGUGAUAACACCAGUUCUCUCAACACGACAAAAAAUCUGGUUCAGCAUAAGAGAACAAAGCAUAUUGAUGUAUGACAUCAUUUUCUUAGAGUAAUGUUGAAAAAUGUCGUAUCUGCAUGAUGUUCUGCAAAGCAGAAGACCAAGUAGCAGAUAUCUUCACCAAAUCAUUGAGCAGAGAGAACUUUAAAGAGAAUCGAUUGGCAUUGGGGUUGAUAAAAUCAAACCGAGCACCAAGUCCCUCAAUGAUUGGCUAUGAACGAAUGAACAGGUAAAACAACUAAAACGUAUUUUCUAGCAAGUUCUAACUCAUCUCUAUAUCUUUACAGGUAAACACGUAUGGUAACUACAGAGCAAACACAUAGCUAAUAACUUUGCAUCUUGGUAAAAGGAUGAGGCUCACAUUUACAAAACUAAGUUAGGGAAACUGGUUCUCUUGACUCAGGUUAGUAGUUCCUUUAUACUCUCAUGCACAUUUUUAACGGCUAUAAAAGUGCCAAGUCAUUAAAUGUUUCAGUCUCUCUUUCUCAUAUCUUUAUAACUCAAAUAUCACACCCAUUACUAGAUGACCCGUCUACCCAAUGAUUCAUACAUGUUUGUAAUCGGUCCUUCACUUCUUCUAAAUAACCCCAAACACUAUCUCUUUCCUCAUUAUCCACAUCAAAUCCAAAAAGUCCAUUUUCUCUCUCUCUCAAAUCAAACUCUCUUCUUCUCAUUUACUCACUUUAGAUCUCCACUAUGUCUCAAAAUCUAGAAGUUUCAAACAUUUCCAGCGUAGUCCCCAUUGUGUCUUCAUCUCAUGAAGCACUAGAGCGAGUUAUGGUUCUCACCGCAGUCGUAAGACUCAGAAUCACAAAAGAUUUGUUGUUGCGACCUCUCUUUCUACCUCACCGGAAAAAAUGGCAGAAGGUAAAACAGUAGACGGAGACGACGGGCAGAAAGUUUCUAUUCAGAAGGUUGCGGAAAGUUCUGAAGCCCAAUAAGAUGUGGCUUGUAGUAAUGAAGGCUCAACAAUGACCGUUCCAAGCUUUGAUGUAAAUAUUGCCAAUCCUAUAGGUAAUGUUCCUCAUGUAUCAUCUAAUUCUACUUUAGGGGUAAAUAAACAAGAAGCCAUUAAGAAUAUGUUACUAAUUUCUGCAGAUAGAGGUUUGGUUGGUGGUUAUAAGGGUGAUAACGAGACCACUAGGUCUUAGGGGGAAUGUGAAAGUCACAAAGUUGAAGGGGGGAACUGGUGGUUGAAGGUGGGGAACUGGUGCCCUUUAGAAACUUGGCACCAGUCAGUACUACUGGGGAAACAACAGAGGGACCUGAUCCCUCUGCCAAAGAAAAGCAUUCUGCUCCUACUUGGGAGGAAACCCCUUGCUCCUCAAAAGAGCCCCAGGUCAGUAUUGAUCCUGCCCCUUCUUCUCACUUCGAUGCUGAGCCGCUGAACUUUGUCAUCCCUGAGAUGAGAUCUCUAUCCAAAGAUAAAAAUAAAAAUAGUGAGGAAGACUAUGACAAUGUGACUGUGGCAAGCUUUAUUACUGCCAGAAGUGGUGGGGCAGUUCCCAAAAAGCCCAUUCUCAAAAGACCCACCACCAGGUUAUAAAAGAAAGAAGCUUAUGAGUCUGUGCUGAAGCAAAACAAAGAGGAAAUGGGAAGAAGAAGGUUGGUAAAAGGGGUAAAGCUAGUCAAUUAGAAGGAUGUGCCUCCAGCACAUGUUGUUCAUGUUGAUGAUGAAGAAGUGAACGAGGAACUUGCUUCCUUAAUUCGUAAAUUCUCUAAGAAACUUGUGAUUCCAAGUCCCAAGAGAGGGUCAUCUCUGAAAGUUGUGGAGGACAAAAGUGUUUAGAGUGAGAAGUCUAGUGAAAAAUAUCCUGAGAAGUCUGAAAAGAAGGAGGAAACUAUGAGGAAGUCUGUGAAGAGGAAGGCUAGCGACAACGAAGAACCUGGUUCCUCCAAGAAGUCCAAAGUGACUGUGUCAAAAUAUGGAGGCAGAGAAAACCUUAGGAAACAGAGAGUGAUAUGGGGCAGAACCUUCGCACCUGACAUUCUUGACAUGGCAGGAAUGCGUCAACUGAUCGAUAUUUUGUGAGUUUCAAAAGUGGACACACUUGUUCACCAAUGAGAGCCCCAAGGUGUAUAAGGAAUAGGUGUGUAGCUUCUACGAAGACAUGUUCAUAGUGGAAGAUGAUAACAUAUGCUUGAAGGUCAAUGGAGUAGAUUUUGUGAUGGACGAGGCUGUGUUGGGGAAUAUUUUUAGAGUGCCUACUGAAAGGAUCUCAUCCAUUGAGGGGAACUAUUCUCCAAAUUUCAGGAGUUCCAUUCUGAAGGAUGAUGCUGUGUAGUAAGGAGAACAGGUGCACAAGAAGCCCCUCCUUCCAGUGUCUCAACUUUUACUUGAGAUGGUGAAUAAGGUCUUGCUUCCACGUGCAGAAAGGAAUUCCAUUACUUUCAAAGCAGACCUAUUCCUAAUGGAAACACUGGAUGCCUACACCACUAUCAAUUUGCCUGGUCUUAUAAUAGAGCAUAUAAAGAAAGUGUCAGACUUCAAGGAUGGUAAUCAUGGUUUUCCUUAUGGGUUCUUGCUCACUAAGGUGUUUAACUUCUUCAAAGUCUCUUUGGAAAAAGCAACAGUGAGAACUCGCAAGUAGACCUUCUCACACCUUGGAGGAAUGUGAGUGUAUUGAUAAGAAAGGAGGGGUUGGAAACAAUUCCACUAUCUCUCAAUUGAUUGAUGCUUAGAAUGCUGCAAAUGAGGAGAUAAGGAGGUUGAAGGCACGAAAUGUCAUUCUUGAAGGAUAGCUUAGUCGGGCCCAGGAAGCACCUUGUUCCAACAGUGCUGUGAUAAAAAACCUCUUCUAGCAUCACUUCAAUUUGCGUGCACAGUCCGGGUGCAUAGUCAGAAAGCUAUUAUGUGAAAAUCUGUGAAAACAAUGAUAAAUUUUGGCUAUAAAAUGAAUUAAGUUGACUUUGGUCAACAUUUUGGGUAAACAGACCCGGACCCGUGAUUUGACGGUCCCGGAGGGUCCGUAGGAAAAAAUGGGACUUGGGUGUAUGCCUGGAAUCGAAUUCCGAGGUCCCAAGUCCGAGAAAUGAAUUUUUAAAAGAAAUUAUUUUCUGAAAAAUAUAAAGGUUUUUGAAAGUAAAAUAUUAUAUGAAACCUGUGGUAUCGAGACCGUAUUAUGGUUCUAGAGCCUGGUACUGGUUCAAUAUGAUUUAUAUGUAUUGUCGGUAAAGUUUGGUAAGAAACAAAAUUCAUUUGACGUGAUUCAGACCUUAAAUGCAAAAUUUGAUGUUUAAAGAAGUUUUUGAGAAAUUUCAUUGAUUUUGAGUUUAAUUCGAUGUGCAUGAUGUUAUUUUGGUGAUUUGAUUACACGAAUAAGUCUGGAAGAUGUUUUUGAGGUUGUAUGUAUAUUUGGUUUGGAGUCCCGAAGACUCGGGUGAGUUUUGGAUAGGUGUCGAGGUGAUUUAGACUUAGAAAAAUCUGGUUUUCUGCUGUUGCUGGUGUCCAGUUAUUUUGUACUAUGCGAUCGCAUAGGAAGGCUUGCGAUCGCAUAGUGUAAACUUCAGGGGUCCUAUUUUUUGCUAUGCGAUCGCAUAGUCCUUCCGCAAUCACAUAGAGUAAAUUCUGGGAGGUCACAAUUUGUUCUAUGGGGUCGCAUUGUUUCUUCCGCAAUCACGAUGUAUUAAACCAAGCCUGGGAAGGGAACCCGUUUUCUUCUAUGCGAUCGCACUGCCUUGACCGUGAUCGCAGUGACCAAUCUCCCUUACCUUAUGCGAUCCCAUUCCUUUCUUCGCGAUCGCAUAGACCAAAAUCCGCCCAGUUAUUUUUAAGUUCAAAACAGAAUGUAUUACAGGAAUUUCACCAUUUUUCACAACUUCUGCUUCUCCACACCUCUUGGGCGAUUUUUGAAGAGAAACUUCACCACAACUUCAUAGGUAUGUAAUCCUGAGCUCGUUUUCUUCUAUUUUAUCAACACCCAUUAGAUUUCUAGGCCUAAAACAUGAGAUUAAGGGUAGAAAAUUAGGGAUUUGGGUAGAGUUAAGACUUUUUGAUUAUUUGGGAAUUUGACCUCGAUUUGGGGUCGGAUUUCAAAACAAAUUAUAUAUUCGGGCUCAUGGGUGAAUGGGUGAUCAAUUUUUGGUCCGAACCUCGUGUUUUGACCAAGCGGGCCCGGGGGUCAAUUUUUGACUUUUUGGGAAGAAUGAUAGGAAAACUAUAAUUAAGCAUUGAAAUUGAAUUAUUUAGCAUUUAUUGAUGUUAUUAAGUCGAUUAUGUCUAGAUACAAUUGAUUUGGAGCCAAAUUCAAUAAGAAAAGCGGUGUUUGAGGCUUGAGUUGGUCGUGGAAGUUCAAGGUAAGUGUUUGGUCUAACCUUAGCUUGAGGGAUUAGGAGUCGAGUCCUAUUUGCUAUGUGGUAAUUGUUGAGUACGAUGUAUAGGCAUGGUGACGAGUAUCUAUACGAUUGGUGUCUAGCAUGCCCGUGAGUCUUACAUUAUGAUUAUCAUGACUUCGUUGUAUCUUUCAUGCCUUGGUGAUGGUUUCUAUUUGUUGUGUAAAGUUUGUGGAAGAAAUUGUGACCUAUGAACAUUGAGGAGUGUUGGCUCAAGUUAUGUAAUGAAUUGUGGAAGUAUAAGUGAUAAUUGAACCUUUAGAGUAUUGGCUCGAGUUGUGAAUUGAAUUGUGAAGUAAAGUGAGAAAGAGAAGAGAUCAUUAUGUUGCCCCCCCUUGCCGGGCUUUUGUUGCUUUAUUUGUUAUCUCCCUUGCCAAGAUGUUGAUGUUAUUGAUGUUGUACCUUGCAGGGACUUAUUGUUAAACUAUCGUUCCCUAACCGGGAUUAUUGUUGCAAAUUUUAUUUAUUUUCCUUGCACUAUUAUUUGUGAUAGUUGUUUGGGUAAGGAAGAGAGUUAAAGCACUAAGGGUAAUGCCGUGUAUUGUUUUGUGAGGAAAGAGUGUAAAGCACGGAGGGUGAUGCCAUGUAUGAUUUGUGAGAAAAGAGUGUAAAACACGAAGGGUGAUGUCGUGCCGCACGAUGUACUAUUCCGUGCCGAUUAUAUUGAUUAUAUGGUGAGGAAAGAGAGUAAAAACACAAAGGGUGAUGCCGUGCACAUUAUUACUAUAUGAUUGCUUUGGUGAGGACGAGAGUAAAAACACGAAGGGUGAUGCCAUGCAUUUAUUGAUUCUGAUUCCUUGAUGAUAUCCGAGUUAUAUUGUUUCUUUCGUUUACUUGUUGUAUUUCUAUUCGGGAUUGAUAUCUUCCCCCGCAGCAUGCUACCCCUCCCAUACUUGAAUGUUUAUUUCUAUAUUUCUUUUCCGCUGUAUAUAUUUGAAUUGCAUAGGCUUAUUUAAUAGUCUGGUCCUAGCCUCGUCACUACUUCGCCGAGGUUAGGCUAGGCACUUACCAGCGCAUAGAGUCGGUUGUGCUGAUACUACACUCUGCACUAUGUGCAGAUCCCGGAGCAGCUCUUGGACCGUAGUUUUGAGGCUACCUUCAGUCCACGCAGAGAUCCAAGGUAGACCUGCAGGCAUCCGCAGACCCUGACGUCUCCUCUAUCUUUUAUUUCCUGU
This 8204-nucleotide long non-coding RNA is filed under the name Nicotiana tabacum (common tobacco). Its description in RNAcentral is "long non-coding RNA (NTAB_LNC010172)". The record is from RNAcentral. Lineage: Eukaryota; Viridiplantae; Streptophyta; Magnoliopsida; Solanales; Solanaceae.